Molecule: ribosomal RNA, 474 nt
Filed under: uncultured Glomus
Lineage: Eukaryota; Fungi; Glomeromycota; Glomeromycetes; Glomerales; Glomeraceae
Description: SSU rRNA
Rfam family: Eukaryotic small subunit ribosomal RNA
Source: RNAcentral
AGCAGCCGCGGUAAUUCCAGCUCCAAUAGCGUAUAUUAAAGUUGUUGCAGUUAAAAAGCUCGUAGUUGAAUUUCGAGACCGGUUUACUGGUCGUGCUUUUGUACGUACUGGUAUUAUUGGUUUCUCCUUUCUGACGAACUAUAAUGCCAUUAAUUUGGUGUUUUAGGGAAUCAGGACUGUUACUUUGAAAAAAUUAGAGUGUUUAAAGCAGGCUCACGCUUGAAUACAUUAGCAUGGAAUAACGGAAUAGGACGUUUGAUUCUAUUUUGUUGGUUUCUAGGAUCGACGUAAUGAUUAAUAGGGAUAGUUGGGGGCAUUAGUAUUCAAUUGUCAGAGGUGAAAUUCUUGGAUUUAUUGAAGACUAACUACUGCGAAAGCAUUUGCCAAGGAUGUUUUCAUUAAUCAAGAACGAAAGUUAGGGGAUCGAAGACGAUCAGAUACCGUCGUAGUCUUAACCAUAAACUAUGCCGACUA